Molecule: ribosomal RNA, 254 nt
Filed under: uncultured bacterium
Lineage: Bacteria
Description: partial 16S ribosomal RNA
Rfam family: Bacterial small subunit ribosomal RNA
Source: RNAcentral
GACGUAGGGCGCGAGCGUUGUCCGGAUUUAUUGGGCGUAAAGAGCUCGUAGGCGGCUUGUCGCGUCGAAUGUGAAAACCCACGGCUCAACUGUGGGCUUGCAUUCGAUACGGGCAGGCUAGAGUUCGGUAGGGGAGACUGGAAUUCCGUGGUGUAGCGGUGAAAUGCGCAGAUAUCAGGAGGAACACCGGUGGCGAAGGCGGGUCUCUGGGCCGUAACUGACGCUCAUGCACGACAGCGUGGGGAUCAAACAGG